Molecule: long non-coding RNA, 423 nt
Organism: Centruroides sculpturatus (bark scorpion)
Lineage: Eukaryota; Metazoa; Arthropoda; Arachnida; Scorpiones; Buthidae
Exons: 3
Source: RefSeq, a predicted model, not a curated record
UGAUAGGUCAGGUGAAUGUGGUCCUUUCAUCCCCCAUGGGCGCCUAACUAUUAGCGUCCUCACACUAUCGAUCUGCUCUUGCGCCGUCAUCUUUCUACCCCUGCCGAAGUGGUACAUCCCUGGCGUUUUACCAGCGUUGGGCCGUCCUCCCCGUACAGUGGUUGCCUAGCCAGGGGCGAUUGUAUUGUUUGUCUGCUGUACACUUGUACUAUCGUAGCCGACUGAAGUCCAGUAUCGAGCUACCGCAAGGGUACUUCAUUAACCGUGGUAUAGAGACUAUCGGCCAUUCAACGAUUACAUUCCUAUCUCAGAUUAUAUAUUAAAUAUGACUGAAUAAUGAUGUUAGUGAUGUAAUCAAGAAAGCCUCAUAUCCCUCGUGGCCGAAUUUUGCGGCAGGAGGACAUUAAAACACGAGAAUAUUUA